GAUGAACGCUAGCGGCAGGCCUAACACAUGCAAGUCGAGGGGGAGGUUACUUUCGGGUAACUGAGACCGGCGUACGGGUGCGUAACGCGUAUACAAUCUGCCUUUCACUGGGGGAUAGCCCGAAGAAAUUUGGAUUAAUACCCCAUAGUAUAGUAAUACGGCAUCGUGAUGCUAUUAAAGCUUAGGUGGUGAAAGAUGAGUAUGCGUUCUAUUAGCUAGUUGGAGAGGUAACGGCUCCCCAAGGCGAUGAUAGAUAGGGGUUCUGAGAGGGAUGUCCCCCACACUGGUACUGAGAUACGGACCAGACUCCUACGGGAGGCAGCAGUGAGGAAUAGUGGACAAUGGUCGGAAGACUGAUCCAGCCAUGCCGCGUGCAGGAUGAAGGUCUUAUGGAUUGUAAACUGCUUUUGUAAGGGAAGAAUAAGGGCUACGCGUAGUUUGAUGACGGUACCUUACGAAUAAGCAUCGGCUAACUCCGUG
Molecule: ribosomal RNA, 480 nt
Filed under: uncultured bacterium
Lineage: Bacteria
Description: partial 16S ribosomal RNA
Rfam family: Bacterial small subunit ribosomal RNA
Source: RNAcentral